UACAGAGGGGGCCAGCGUUAUUCGGAAUUAUUGGGCGUAAAGGGCGCGUAGGCGGCGGGGUAAGUCGGAUGUGAAAUCCCAGGGCUCAACCCUGGAACUGCAUUCGAUACUGCCUGGCUAGGGUACUGGAGAGGAGACUGGAAUUUACGGUGUAGCAGUGAAAUGCGUAGAUAUCGUAAGGAAGACCAGUGGCGAAGGCGAGUCUCUGGACAGUUACCGACGCUGAGGCACGAAGGUCAGGGGAGCAAACGGG
This 253-nucleotide ribosomal RNA is filed under the name uncultured bacterium. Its description in RNAcentral is "partial 16S ribosomal RNA". It matches the Rfam family "Bacterial small subunit ribosomal RNA", at positions 524 to 776 of the family's 1533-position model. The record is from RNAcentral.